Oncorhynchus tshawytscha (Chinook salmon) is the source of this 1289-nucleotide long non-coding RNA. Lineage: Eukaryota; Metazoa; Chordata; Actinopteri; Salmoniformes; Salmonidae. The record is from Ensembl.
CUGGAGAGGAUCAAACAGGAUCGGACAUAAUCAGGGAGGACCAGACAGGAUCAGACAGGACCAGACAGGACCAGCGAAGAUCAGACAGGACCAGGGAGGAUCAGACAGGACCAGGGAGGAUCAGACAGGAUCAGACAGGGUCAGACAUGACCAGAAAGGGUCAGACAUGACCAGAGAGGAUCAGGGAGGACUAGGGAAUAUCAGACAGGACCGGACAGGACCAGAGAGGAUCAGACAGGACCAGGGAGGAUCAGACAGGACCGGACAGGAUCAGGGAGGACUAGGGAAUAUCAGACAGGACCGGACAGGACCAGCGAGGAUCAGACAGGACCAGGGAGGAUCAGACAGGAUCAGACAGGGUCAGACAGGACCAGGGAGGAUCAGACAGGACCGGACAGGAUCAGGGAGGACUAGGGAAUAUCAGACAGGACCGGACAGGACCAGCGAGGAUCAGACAGGACCAGGGAGGAUCAGACAGGAUCAGACAGGGUCAGACAUGACCAGAGAGGAUCAGACAAGACCAGACAAGACAAAAUAAGGCUCUUGGAUGAAGGAAAACAGUAGGAACUGUUUUUUGUCCUUGGGGAUAGAAGAAACACAGGGGUCGUCAUCAUCAAAGUACGUAUGCAGAGUGAUACGGAUGCAGGAAGGGUAAUAUGGAGGAUGACAGAGAAUGCUCAGAACUUCUUUCCAGUAAUUCUCUCUAAUGGGACAAAACCAAUACCUCAUGGAGAUGAGUGUUGGGGAGGUCCGUUUGGCAGAAUUGACACAGAGGCUGCUGACGCACUUAAUCACACCUUAUGGGAAUCUAGGGGCUGCUCCAGAGGCCCUGAUGGCCUGUGGAGGCAAUCACUCUCUGGCAAACCAGUUCUGCAUCUGCCUGUUGUCUCCUCUGUGUGUCUCCUGGCCCACAAGGUGGGUGGCACGCCAAUGGGGGAGAUGGUAAGACUAAUAUCUGACACUUGGUUUUGUCCAAAUCUGAUUGAAAUUUGCAAAACUAACAUGUAUAAAUGUACUACAUGCAUGCAAUACCCCCCCUAAAAUCAGGGAACUUUCCAGCGCCGGCCAGCCUGAUCAUCCAUUUAGCUAUGGACUUCAUAGACAUGGUUGAAUGAAAGGAAAGAAUGAGAUACUGCCUUGUAAUAACUGACCGAUUUACCAGGUGGGUCGAAGCAUUUCCAACCGUGCACUGUGAAGCUAAAAAUGGUAGCAAAAGGGAAAUCAUCCCUAGAUUCGGCACACCGGAAGUUCUCUCCGCAGACAAUGGCCCCCAUUUCUCAGGAGAUGUG